Molecule: long non-coding RNA, 274 nt
Filed under: Pongo abelii (Sumatran orangutan)
Lineage: Eukaryota; Metazoa; Chordata; Mammalia; Primates; Hominidae
Description: lincRNA
Source: RNAcentral
UGUUUUUCUGGAGGAAGAGCAAUAAAGUUCGUGGCCACAGAGGUGCUGGUGGGAUGGAUGCGGUUCUGGAUCUGAGCUCUAAUCACAAUUGCAGCAGCUGUACCCAGAGGACCAGUGCUGGAUCCCCACUCUGGGGAAGGCAAUGGCUGUGCACCCUGGAGCUCAUGUUCACUGGGGAUCUGCAGGUAGAGCCGGAGUUGGGGUGCAGCCAAGUUCUGCUGCCGCAGAGGAAGGGGAACCUGGCCGUGUUCAUCGCACCACAGAGGGACAGCCU